Long non-coding RNA from Tyto alba (common barn owl), 210 nucleotides. RefSeq lists it as uncharacterized. The record is from RefSeq and is a predicted model, not a curated record. The transcript is spliced from 2 exons. Lineage: Eukaryota; Metazoa; Chordata; Aves; Strigiformes; Tytonidae.
CCCUCCUCCUCCUCAGGACCCCCCAGCACAGCACAAACUUCUCUGAAGCUUGCUCCAUCAGGCGCAUCCCCACAAGCCCCUUCUAGGGGAAGCCUGACACGAGGCAGUCGCAGCUCAGCCCUGGGAACCAGCACAAAGCCCCAGCACCAUUUCCACCCUUGGGGUAGGGGCUAUGUGCUACAGGUUUAAUAAAUGGCUUCACCCUCACGA